This 157-nucleotide ribosomal RNA is filed under the name uncultured bacterium. RNAcentral describes it as "partial 16S ribosomal RNA". It matches the Rfam family "Bacterial small subunit ribosomal RNA", at positions 352 to 507 of the family's 1533-position model. The record is from RNAcentral.
CAGUGAGGAAUAUUGGUCAAUGGUCUGACGACUGAACCAGCCAUGCCGCGUGAAGGUCACGGCCCUAUGGGUCUUAAACUUCUUUUGCGAGGGAGCAAUAAGGUCUACGUGUAGAUUGAUGAGAGUACCUUACGAAUAAGCAUCGGCUAACUCCGUG